ACACGUAGGGGCCUGACGUUGUUCGGAAUCAUUGGGCGUAAAGGGCGCGCAGGCGGCCGUCCAAGUCCGGUGUUAAAUGGUCGGGCUCAACCCGAUCAUGCGCUGGAAACUGGGCGGCUUGAGUCCCGGAGGGGAUGCCGGAAUUCCAGGUGUAGGGGUGAAUCUGUAGAUAUCUGGAAGAACACCGAUGGCGAAGGCAGGCAUCUGGCCGGAGACUGACGCUGAGGCGCGAAGGCGCGGGGAGCGAACAGGUUUAGAUACCCUGGUAGUCCGCGCAGUAAACGAUGCGCACCAGGUGUCGGGCGGCAGCGCCCGGUACCGGAGCAAACGCGAUGAGUGCGCCGCCUGGGGAGUAUGCCCGCAAGGGUGAAACUCAAAUGAAUUGGCGGGG
This 391-nucleotide ribosomal RNA is filed under the name uncultured bacterium. Its description in RNAcentral is "partial 16S ribosomal RNA". It matches the Rfam family "Bacterial small subunit ribosomal RNA", at positions 523 to 918 of the family's 1533-position model. The record is from RNAcentral.